RNAcentral lists this ribosomal RNA (440 nucleotides) under uncultured bacterium. RNAcentral's name for it is "partial 16S ribosomal RNA". It matches the Rfam family "Bacterial small subunit ribosomal RNA", at positions 338 to 795 of the family's 1533-position model. The record is from RNAcentral.
CCUACGGGAGUCAGCAGUGGGGAAUAUUGCACAAUGGGGAAAACCCUGAUGCAGCGACGCCGCGUGAGUGCAGAAGUAUCUCGGUACGUAAAGCUCUAUCAGCAGGGAAGAAAAUGACGGUGCCUGACUAAGAAGCCCCGGCUAACUACGUGCCAGCAGCCGCGGUAAUACGUAGGGGGAAAGCGUUGUUCUGCUUUACUGGGUGUUAAGGGAGCGUAGACGGCAGCACAAGUCGUGAGUGAAAUCCCGGGGCUUAACCCCGGAACUGCUUUGGAAACUGUGCGGCUGGAGUGCAGGAGGGGUAAGCGGAAUUCCUAGUGUAGCGGUGAAAUGCGUAGAUAUUAGGAGGAACACCGGUGGCGAAGGCGGCUUACUGGACUGUAACUGACGUUGAGGCUCGAAAGCGUGGGGAGCAAACAGGAUUAGAUACCCUUGUAGUC